RNA transcript from Panicum hallii, 2731 nucleotides. It is a transcript of the gene named probable diphthine methyl ester synthase, with no coding region annotated. The transcript is spliced from 2 exons. The record is from RefSeq and is a predicted model, not a curated record. NCBI's taxonomy places the organism in Eukaryota, Viridiplantae, Streptophyta, Magnoliopsida, Poales, Poaceae.
GCUCUAUCCGUCACAACCAUCACGCACGACCUUAUCCUUUCCAUCGUGGCCAGGCAUUUUCCUCUUCAAUGUUCAUACAAACGCAGACAUGUUGCCCUCUCCGUUCUCCUAAGCCGUUCUCUUCCAAUCCUUCGAUUCGUUCGUCAAGCUCCGGUGGAAUCGUGGCCGAAGGCCGGCGACGACGCAGGAGAAGCUGUACAGCAACAAGAUAACGGUGGCCAGUCAGGAGAUGGUGAAGGAGCAUGUGGACCAGGUGCCGCUUGAGCCCGCCGACACAGACGUCGCCUUCCUUGUGGUAGUGACCCAUUCGAGUAACAGAUGCUUUGUUUCUAGUUCCUUUUUUUAGCUGAUUGUGUCAGUUUUAGAGCGUAUGUGGAUAGCAGAUGUGUGCUCAUCCCACCUAUAAAGUUGUUGAUGACCACAUGCGAGGAAGUCUGAUUGGAGUUGCCUGCCAGAUUGUAUUUAAUUUUGUGAAUUGGUUUCGUUUUGCUUUGAAUAUUUCUGCAGUAAGAUAAUAGGACAACUUGCCAGUCCAAUUAGUAUAAAUUAUAGCAUAGAUAGCUCUUUCAGUCAUUGUCCUUUCUCUGGUUUUGACAACAACUUAGGUUGGGACUCAUGGCACAGGUUAGCAUUAUCCAUUUUUUAUUAGUAUUUUUGUGUCCAGAUAGACUAACACAUUGGAAUAGAGGAUAUUAAACUUAUGAGAUGCUCUACUGAUAUCAUUAAAAUGCCUACUGAACACUAAUCAAAAUGCUUAUAACACGUUGCUUAUGAUUUAAACCAGAAUUUAAAAGGCUGGUGAUUGGUUGAACACAUAGAAUUCCUAAAAGUUAUCAUUAUACUAAGCAAUAUUUUUGUUGUACAUAGGCAAUAAUCUGCUAUUAAUUAGACAAAAUACUAUCUCAGUUAGGACCAAAGGCUCUGUUCUGCAUUGGGCAAAGUGUUGUUUUUCAUACACGUGAGGUCCCUAAGGUGAAGGUAUGAAUUUUAUUUGGUGGCAACUUAUGCUAAAUCAACAAGCAAUUAAUUCAACUAGUAUAGCGUUUGUGGUGUUCUGAUUUGAGUAUUUUCAUGUAUUUUCAGGAUUUCCCAUUUUGCUUACUGAAUCAAUUUUAAUUUAUGCAGGUAAACUAGGAAGGACAGAUUUGGUUACAUAUAUACAUAGUCAAGCAUGUUGAGGUAAAUUACAAUGUCCACUAUGCAAAGCUACUACUCCAUUUAGGUAGAUAAUUGUUUUUUUAGUAGGUAGUUCUUUCUUCAGUUAGGUGAAACCCAGUUUUAUAUGUAAACAAAUCUAUUUCUACAGUUAGCCAAGUCCUAUUUUAUUAUAGAAGAUGAGGAACAUUAACAAUUAUAUCAAACUGGAUGCGUAUAGAGACGACAAAUUUGCAAAAUUUGAGGUAUAUUAUUCUCUAUGUUUUUUCCAAAGCAUGCUGCAAUGCACCAUGAUUAGAUAAUAAUCAUCUUUUCAAUUAGGCAGUACUACUGUUAUCAUUAUGCAAUGCUACUAUUUAUGGCUCGAUUGAUGAUUUUCUAGACUACAAGUUACUUGAUUAUUUUAGUGUACAGACUAUUUAGAACUACUUUUUUCAUGUUUAUACCAUUUAUAAAAUUGUUUUAGUGACAGAUGCUCUAUGCAAUCUUAAUAUAUGCAUGAUCUCGCUACAUGUUCCCCCUUUUGCUAUGCGAGAGAUAUUUUAUAUUGUAAUCCAAUUGUUUGAAUGUAUAGAAUAGUUUCUUUUUCCAUAUUAUUCUGAAUACCGAAAACAAACAUAUUUUGCUGCUCCCAAAUUAAACCAUGAUAUUAAGUGAACCUAGAAUUUAGACAAUUUAACACAUACAUGUAAGUAUUUUUAUGUAAAUAAUUUUAGUUUAUGAAUCCCAUAAUGCAGGCAACUUAGCAGACUCAUGCAAGUAUUUUUUAUAUCCAAUAAGUAGGCAUGUAUAACUACGCCAUGCAGUCUAGUUAUGCAUGUUCAAUUUAUACCUACUAUAUCCACCAUGUUCUUUUUGUUUUCUGAGCAAUAGUUUGUUUUGUUCAUAAUUUUUAGUGAAUGAGUAUAACCAUUAUUAUCAAAGUUUCAUAAGCAUUUGUUCUUGUCCAUCUAAAACUGAACUCCUUGCUUGAAGAAUUUCUUGCUGAGGAGAACUUGGGUGAGAGUGAAGUAUGUGAAUCUCAUCUUAUCAAUAACACAGCUCUUGGUAAUAAUGGAGUUCUAGAUUAUACAAAAUAAUACACGUUACAUGCAAUUUUCAUUGAGCAUUUCGUAAUUCCUUUUUGAUUGCUUGCCUUCAGUUGUAGUUCUCCUUUCAACUGUAGUUCUCUAGCUCAUGUACAGCUACCAAAAUUGAGACUAGAUAUAGCUCUUUAAUUUAACCUAUUUUUCAAUCACUAUAUGUUAUCUGAUUAUUGCUUUAUUUUGCAGUUGUUAUUUGCUUGGAAAAAUAUGCUUGUAGCUGGUGCAAUCCUAACUCACAUACUCACAUACUUUUAUUUUUAUAUUCUGAUUUAGUUUGUUGCUUAGUAUUUUUUUAUAAGAGUUGCUUGGUGUUAGUGUUGGCUCACACAAAGCUAAUGAUGCAGCUAGUCCAUGCGUGCCUUUGGUGCUAGAGGAUCAGGCACGAAGACUUUUUUUUUAUGUAUUAAUGAUACUCUCUUGUUGUAAAUGCUUUUAUUCAUAUUCUAAUAUGCUCAUAAUUUAUAAAAACUUUGCUUAUGAGGUUCCUCAAA